UGGCGGACGGGUGAGUAAUGUCUGGGAAACUGCCCGAUGGAGGGGGAUAACUACUGGAAACGGUAGCUAAUACCGCAUAACGUCGCAAGACCAAAGAGGGGGACCUUCGGGCCUCUUGCCAUCGGAUGUGCCCAGAUGGGAUUAGCUAGUAGGUGGGGUAACGGCUCACCUAGGCGACGAUCCCUAGCUGGUCUGAGAGGAUGACCAGCCACAUUGGAACUGAGACACGGUCCAG
This 235-nucleotide ribosomal RNA is filed under the name uncultured bacterium. RNAcentral describes it as "partial 16S ribosomal RNA". It matches the Rfam family "Bacterial small subunit ribosomal RNA", at positions 96 to 334 of the family's 1533-position model. The record is from RNAcentral.